AAAACUUAAGAAAGAAUAAAUAUUCUAUUAAUUU
Molecule: transfer RNA, 34 nt
Filed under: Callizygaena splendens
Lineage: Eukaryota; Metazoa; Arthropoda; Insecta; Lepidoptera; Zygaenidae
Also listed under: 1 other name
Description: partial transfer RNA-Ser
Source: RNAcentral